Molecule: ribosomal RNA, 414 nt
Filed under: Triticum aestivum (bread wheat)
Lineage: Eukaryota; Viridiplantae; Streptophyta; Magnoliopsida; Poales; Poaceae
Description: partial small subunit ribosomal RNA
Source: RNAcentral
AUGGAAUUUGAGUCAAGUGAUGAAGAUUAUUCCUAUGAUGAAGAUGAGGAGGGACACAUUGUUAGAAGGAAGAGCAAAUACCCUAGAUUUGACCCUCAUACUGAUAUUCCACACUUUAGUUUGGCUAUGGUUUUCAAAAGCAAAAAUCAAUUUGUCAAAGCAAUUAAGAGAUAUGGUCUUGCUACAAAAAGAAGCAUCAAUUUCUUAAAGUCUGAGGAGGUGAAGGUCAGAGCCAAAUGUGGAUGUCCAGGGUGCCCAUGGCUUGUGUAUGGAGCAAAGACAAGCAGGUGUUCAAGGUUCCAAAUCAUUACAUAUGAGGAUGAGCACCAUUGUGCACAGAAUAGGGAAAAUAAGCUUGUUUCUGCAAAGGUUAUAGCACAAAGAUAUGAACAUUUCAUCCUUGCCAAUCCAAUG